AUGAGGUGCUUGCACCUUAUCUUAGCGGCGGACGGGUGAGUAAUGCUUAGGAAUCUGCCUAUUAGUGGGGGACAACAUUCCGAAAGGAAUGCUAAUACCGCAUACGUCCUACGGGAGAAAGCAGGGGAUCUUCGGACCUUGCGCUAAUAGAUGAGCCUAAGUCGGAUUAGCUAGUUGGUGGGGUAAAGGCCUACCAAGGCGACGAUCUGUAGCGGGUCUGAGAGGAUGAUCCGCCACACUGGGACUGAGACACGGCCCAGACUCCUACGGAGGCAGCAGUGGGGAAUAUUGGACAAUGGGGGGAACCCUGAUCCGCCAUGCCGCGUGUGUGAAGAAGGCUUAUGGUGUAAAGCACUUUAAGCGAGAGCUACUGAGACUAAUACUCUUGGAUAGUG
This 395-nucleotide ribosomal RNA is filed under the name uncultured Acinetobacter sp. Its description in RNAcentral is "bacterial SSU rRNA". It matches the Rfam family "Bacterial small subunit ribosomal RNA", at positions 71 to 477 of the family's 1533-position model. Lineage: Bacteria; Pseudomonadati; Pseudomonadota; Gammaproteobacteria; Moraxellales; Moraxellaceae. The record is from RNAcentral.